Long non-coding RNA from Erinaceus europaeus (western European hedgehog), 699 nucleotides. RefSeq lists it as uncharacterized. NCBI's taxonomy places the organism in Eukaryota, Metazoa, Chordata, Mammalia, Eulipotyphla, Erinaceidae. The record is from RefSeq and is a predicted model, not a curated record. The transcript is spliced from 3 exons.
CAAGCACAGUACACUGUGGGGGGGAAUUCUAGGACAUUCCAGUCAGAUAUGCCGACUGCUCUGUGUACAGUGCAAGCACAGUACACUGUAUGGAGGGGGAUUCUAGGAGAUUCCAGGCAGAUUUGCUGAUAGCUCUGUGCUCAGUGCAAGCACUGUUCACUGUGGGGGGGAAUUCUAGGAUAUUCCAGGCAGAUUUGCCGAUAGCUCUGUGCUUAGUGCAAGCACUGUAUACUUUGGGGGGGUGGGAAUCUAGGACAUUCGAGGCAGAUUUGCCUAUAUUUCUGUGCUCAGUCUAAGCACUGUGCACUGUAGGGGGGGGAAUUCUAGGACAUUCCAGGCAGAUUUGCCGAUUGCUCUGUGUACAGUGCAAGCACAGUACACUGUGUGGAGGGGGAUUCUAGGACAUUCCAGGCAGAUUGGCCGAUAGCUCUGUCCUCUGUGCAAACACUGUACACUGUGGGGGUAGGAAUUCUCGGACAUUCCUGGCAGAUUUGCUGAUAUCUCUUUGCUGAGUGCAAGCACUGUACACUGUGUGUGUGGGGGAAUUCUAGGAUAUUCCAGGCAGAUUUGCCGAUAGCUCUGUGCUCAGUGCAAGCACUGUACACUGUGGGGGGGGAUUCUAGGACAUUCCAGGCAGAUUGGCCAAUAGCUCUGUGCUCUGUGCAAACACUGUACACUGUGGGGGUAGGAAUUCUCGGA